This 497-nucleotide ribosomal RNA is filed under the name uncultured bacterium. Its description in RNAcentral is "partial 16S ribosomal RNA". It matches the Rfam family "Bacterial small subunit ribosomal RNA", at positions 28 to 507 of the family's 1533-position model. The record is from RNAcentral.
GAUGAACGCUGGCGGCGUGCCUAACACAUGCAAGUCGAGCGAAAAGACGAGGAGCUUGCUCCUCUGACGUUGGCGGCGGACGGAUGAGUAAAACAAGGAUAACCUACCUAUAAGACUAGUAUAACUUCGGGGAACCGGUGCUAAUAACGGAUAAUAUCUUCAAGCUGAUGGUUCAAAAGUUACGGACGUUUUUGCUGUAACUUCUAGAUAUCUCCGUGCCGGUUUAGCUAGUUGGUAAGGUAACGGCUUACCAAGGCGACGCUGCGUAGCCGACCUGAGAAGGGGAUCGGCCACACUGGGACUGAGACACGGUCCAGGCUCCGAGGGAAGGCAGCAGUACGGAAGCGUGGGAGAUGGGCGGAAGCUUGAAGGAGCAGCGCCGCGUGGGUGAUGAAGGGCUUCGGGUCGUAAGACGCUGUUAUUAGGGAAGAACAAUUGUGUAAGUAACGAUGCACGUCUUGACGGUACCUAAAGAAGAAGCCACGGCUAACUACGUG